GAUGAAGAACGUAGCGAAAUGCGAUAAGUAAUGUGAAUUGCAGAAUUCAGUGAAUCAUCGAAUCUUUGAACGCAUCUUGCGCUCCUUGGUAUUCCGAGGAGCAUGCCUGUUUGAGUGUCAUUUUAACUUCUCAACCAUAUCGAAUUGUUUUUCGAGGUGGCUUGGACAUGGGGGUUUUUGCAGGCUUUAAUAAUGAAGUCGGCUCCUCUGAAAUGCAUUAGUGGUAUCGGAAGCAGAACUGCUACUAUUAGGUGUGAUAAUUAUCUAUGCCUCUUGGUAUACUGCAUGAACAGAUUGCGCUGCUUCCAACUUGUACACCCUUUGGUGUUUGACAAAUUUGACCUCAAAUCAGGUAGGACUACCCGCUGAACUUAAGCAUAUCAAUAAGCGGAGGA
Molecule: unclassified non-coding RNA, 395 nt
Filed under: soil metagenome
Description: partial contains 5.8S ribosomal RNA, internal transcribed spacer 2, and large subunit ribosomal RNA
Rfam family: 5.8S ribosomal RNA (bases 1-120)
Source: RNAcentral